This 417-nucleotide unclassified non-coding RNA is filed under the name soil metagenome. Its description in RNAcentral is "partial contains 5.8S ribosomal RNA, internal transcribed spacer 2, and large subunit ribosomal RNA". The stretch from base 1 to 120 matches the Rfam family "5.8S ribosomal RNA", at positions 35 to 154 of the family's 154-position model. The record is from RNAcentral.
GAUGAAGAACGUAGUGAAAUGCGAUAAGUAAUGUGAAUUGCAGAAUUCAGUGAAUCAUCGAAUCUUUGAACGCACCUUGCGCUCCUUGGUAUUCCUUGGAGCAUGCCUGUUUGAGUAUCAUGAGCAAAUCUCAAAGUCGAUCCUUUUGUUAAUUCAAUUGGUUUUGCUUUGGACUUGGAGGUCUUGCAGAUUUCACCAUCUGCUCCUCUUAAAUGUAUUAGCUGGAUCUCAGUAUUUAUGCUUGGUUCCACUCGGCGUGAUAAGUAUCACUCGCUGAGGACACUGGUAAAAAGGUGGCCAGGAAAAUACUGAUUGAACCGCUUCUAACGGUCUAUUAACUUAGACAAUUACCCUUAAGUUUGAUCUCAAAUCAGGUAGGACUACCCGCUGAACUUAAGCAUAUCAAUAAGCGGAGGA